CCUACGGGAGGCAGCAGUGGGGAAUAUUGCACAAUGGGGGAAACCCUGAUGCAGCGACGCCGCGUGAAGGAAGAAGUAUCUCGGUAUGUAAACUUCUAUCAGCAGGGAAGAUAGUGACGGUACCUGACUAAGAAGCCCCGGCUAACUACGUGCCAGCAGCCGCGGUAAU
Molecule: ribosomal RNA, 169 nt
Filed under: uncultured bacterium
Lineage: Bacteria
Also listed under: 1 other name
Description: partial 16S ribosomal RNA
Rfam family: Bacterial small subunit ribosomal RNA
Source: RNAcentral